CGUAGUGAACCUGCGGAAGGAUCAUUGUCGAAACCUGCCUAGCAGAACGACCCGAGAACUAGUUUCAAAGCGGGGGAUGAGGGGUCUUGCGGCUCCUUGUCCCUUUAUCUCGGGGGGGUUGCAUUGCGUUCGCGCAAUCGACCCUUCCGUGCGUACAAACGAACACCGGCGCGAAUUGCGCCAAGGAACCUGAAUGAGAGAGCGCGUCCCCGUUGCMCCGGAAACGGUGCGCGCGGGCGGCGUCGUCAUCUUCAAAUAUGUCAAAACGACUCUCGGCAACGGAUAUCUCGSUCUCGCAUCGAUGAAGAACGUAGCGAAAUGCGAUACUUGGUGUGAAUUGCAGAAUCCCGUGAACC
Molecule: unclassified non-coding RNA, 356 nt
Filed under: Prunus sargentii
Lineage: Eukaryota; Viridiplantae; Streptophyta; Magnoliopsida; Rosales; Rosaceae
Description: contains internal spacer 1 and 5.8S ribosomal RNA gene
Rfam family: 5.8S ribosomal RNA (bases 268-356)
Source: RNAcentral